AGUUCCAACAGGUAAGAGCACCUUUCGGGGGUACACUGAGUGGCGAACGGGUGAGUAACACGUGGGUAAUCUGCCCUGCACUUCGGGAUAAGCCUGGGAAACCGGGUCUAAUACCGGAUAUGAGCUCCUGCCGCAUGGUGGGGGUUGGAAAGUUUUUCGGUGCAGGAUGAGUCCGCGGCCUAUCAGCUUGUUGGUGGGGUAAUGGCCUACCAAGGCGACGACGGGUAGCCGGCCUGAGAGGGUGAUCGGCCACACUGGGACUGAGACACGGCCCAGACUCCUACGGGAGGCAGCAGUGGGGAAUAUUGCACAAUGGGCGAAAGCCUGAUGCAGCGACGCCGCGUGGGGGAUGACGGUCUUCGGAUUGUAAACUCCUUUCAGUAGGGACGAAGCGAAAGUGACGGUACCUGCAGAAGAAGCACCGGCCAACUACGUGCCAGCAGCCGCGGUAAUACGUAGGGUGCAAGCGUUGUCCGGAAUUACUGGGCGUAAAGAGCUCGUAGGCGGUUUGUCACGUCGUCUGUGAAAUCCUCCAGCUCAACUGGGGGCGUGCAGGCGAUACGGGCAGACUUGAGUACUACAGGGGAGACUGGAAUUCCUGGUGUAGCGGUGAAAUGCGCAGAUCUCAGGAGGACACACCGUCUGCUCAAAGUCGUGCUCCUGCUGGCUACUAACUCUAA
Molecule: ribosomal RNA, 680 nt
Filed under: Dietzia sp. J970
Lineage: Bacteria; Bacillati; Actinomycetota; Actinomycetes; Mycobacteriales; Dietziaceae
Description: bacterial SSU rRNA
Rfam family: Bacterial small subunit ribosomal RNA
Source: RNAcentral